UAAAUGCACAUUUAAAAAACAAAGGCAAACAAUCUUUAUCAGGAAGAAGAUUCAAAUUGUGUGCAGGGACUGUGCCCAUAAUUUUAGCAACACUGUUGCUACGAGUAGUGACAACAAUUUUACUUCCAUUGGCACCUCCCAUUAAAAAGGUUUUCAAUUCAAGCCAUUUUCUACGGUCAUCAUUCCACACAUCAUCUAGGAUGAGUA
RNAcentral lists this unclassified non-coding RNA (207 nucleotides) under Hevea brasiliensis (rubber tree). The record is from RNAcentral. Lineage: Eukaryota; Viridiplantae; Streptophyta; Magnoliopsida; Malpighiales; Euphorbiaceae.